AGCGAAGCAGAGGAAGGGACGGAGAAAAACAGAGGAGAGGAUCAAUGGAGGAUCUGAAAGUAACAAUAUUAAUGGUGGCAGUUCAGGUGAAUGAAGUAGUGCUGAACACUCUGAUCAAAGCAGCCACCGACGAAGGGAUGAGCGACUAUGUUUUCGUUGUCUAUUCAAACGCCGUGGCUUUCUCUCUUCUUCUUCCAUCUUCCUUCUUUUAUUAUAGAAACCGACCUUCUCCCCCCAUCACCUUCUCAAUCAUCUGCAGAAUAUUUCUUCUCAGCUUGCUCAUUUGUGCAGCGCAGACAAUGGUAUAUGUCGGUAUUGGAUAUAGCUCUCCUGUUCUUUCUUCAGUCAUGGGUGACCUCUCCCCAGCUUUUACCUUCCUUCUUGCCAUCAUUUUCAGAUAUGAAAAAGUGGAGAUGAGGCAAGUGAGCAGUCAUGCAAAGUGUAUAGGGACAGUGUUGUCCACUACAGGAGCGUUAAUGGUGACCCUGUACCGAGGGGAGGCAAAUAGUGGAGAUUCCAAUCUGGAAGACGAUAAGGCAAUCGUCUUGCCACAAGAUGAGUGGCUUCUAGGGGGCGUUCUCCUUGCACUCGGCAGCUUUUGUCUUUCUGUCGUGUUUAACGUCAAGACAUGGAUAAUGAAGGAGUACCCUGAGGUUAUGAUGAUAGCAACCAUAUCAUGCGGCUUCGUGGCGAUGUUAUCCGCCAUGGUUUCUCUUAUUGCUGAGGGAGAUAAUGCUCAAGCAUGGACUCUUCGCGCUGAUAUGGAGUUGGCUGCUAUAUUAUACUCUGGGAUUAUUGUGGUAUCAAUGAGAAGCUUGACAAAUAUAUGGGCAUGCGGAAGGAAGGGACCCGUGUACGUGGCCAUGUUUACUCCUUUAGGAAUGGUCAUCGCACUGGCCAUGGGACUUGUGUUUCUCGGCGAAUCUCUCUCUCUUGGCAGCGUGAUAGGGGGUGGAGUGAUAACUAUUGGGUUUUAUGGCGUUUUAUGGGGUCAGGCUCAACAGGAAAAGAUGGCUUUCCAGACAACAGUAAUCUGUAGCUCUGUGUCUUCUUCUUCUAAUGCAGUGCCUCUUCUACAGAACCAGUGCGUGUGAAAGUGAAAUAUCAAUAUGAACUGUUAUUAUAUUUUUCAUCAUUAAUGGAGUUUACAUGAGGGGUAAUCAAACUGCAAUACGAACACGACAGUUAUAGAGCGCAGCGGUCGUCGUCUGAAU
This is an RNA transcript of Neltuma alba, 1214 nucleotides long. It is a transcript of the gene named WAT1-related protein At5g40210-like, with no coding region annotated. The record is from RefSeq and is a predicted model, not a curated record. The transcript is spliced from 7 exons. NCBI's taxonomy places the organism in Eukaryota, Viridiplantae, Streptophyta, Magnoliopsida, Fabales, Fabaceae.